CGGCGGGUAGGGCUGGGAGGCUUGCCCUCUCCUACGAACCUGAAACGGGCAACAUGCUGGGGCCUGCAACCCGAGGAGCGCGGCAAAGCGCCCAAGGGGACCUGCCUGCUGCUGGGUUGAAGCCCAGCUCUGCCGGGCGAGUGCAGGAGUAGGCGCAUCCGUAGGGUUGCGCCGCAUCCAUAACCGGCGAACGCGCCAGGCCCGGGAGGGAGCAGCGGUAAGGCGGGCUACUUUGCGCUGGCAGAAAAACUGGGCCGACCGGCGGAGGUUGGCGCCCGUUGGGAAUGCUGGCUGCCAUCCGAGGGAGCCGCCG
Molecule: signal recognition particle RNA, 313 nt
Filed under: Thermoproteota archaeon
Lineage: Archaea; Thermoproteati; Thermoproteota
Also listed under: 1 other name
Description: signal recognition particle sRNA
Rfam family: Archaeal signal recognition particle RNA
Source: RNAcentral